GUGUUUGUGAAAUUAUCUAAACGAGGUAAUGUCACACUAUUAUGAUGGGAGUCCCGUCAAAUGACCUCAUUAUCUAUUGGGCCAUAUGAAAAGGUUUUCUUAUUUCAUACGAUACAGUAUCGAUCGUUUCCUUAUAUACAAGAGAAGACAUUAGUCUUACGACUUAACCUAAUUCCAACAUAUGGACUAAGUUAAUCGAGGCCCAUAUGGCCCAAUAUUAUCUUCAGUGGGCCCACCCUGCUUUUAGAAGAAAGAAACGAAAAUGCUCGUCGUUUCACCCUCUAUCAAUCACGCCGGAAAGCAGUUCGCCGGUGAGUAGAGUACCGGAGUUAAAAAGUUACUAUCUUUGUAGAUAAACACUAAUUUGUUUUCAAAAUUCGAAAAUGUUUUGAAGUUCCGAAAUAAAAACAAAAAAAUUCCAGUCGUAAGAAAAGUUGUGACUGGUUAGUAGUACUCUUGGGCAAUGCCAGAUUGCCAGCUAAGGGAGGGAGCAACGGCUCGAACAUAUACCACAAUCUCUCUAAAAAGCACAUUUGCAGUCAUCUUUCACUCAUUUGCAUUCGUCCAAAACACCGCAAAAAAAAAAUAUUCACUCAUCGGCAACAAAGAGAGAAAAGAUGCCUCCUCGGUCUGUCCCACAAGCCAAGAUGCAAAGGAUCCAGAACGUCUACCUUGCACUACAUGUUCUCUUAAUCAACGCCAUUGUCAUUUCGUUGGUGUUCACGGCAAUAGCUGCCGGUAGGGAUGACAACGAAACAAUUUCCGAGUCCAACUCCAACAACUCAACAACCGCUGCUCCUCCUCCUCACAGAAACAUGCCCGACCGGAUAUCGGUUUGUUCCUCUUCGGGAUACUUUUCGUAGUAUAUCUCAUGGUGAAAUCCUACCAACUUUCUCUUGAUGACAUCUGGUUUCCUUUCAAGAAGUUCUUAGAUGAAAUUUCAUUGUGGCUUGGAGUUGUGUCCCUUGUUGUUCUCCUGCUCCUUACCACUACAGUGUUUACAAUCUACAUUGCAGUCCCUUCAGUCAUAUUGGCGAUAGUGGGAAGGUUCAUUUUUGGGAGACCCUGCUUUCUAGAAUUCGGCUACAUCACCUUCCUACAGAUAUCAAAAUGGAUUUGUUAUCUCUGGCUUCUAAUCGUUUUGGGAUGUGCAAAGCUUAGAAGGAAUUUGUUUACAGGGACUUCAGAGGAAUCCAGAAUGUUACUAACAGAUAGGGUUACUAAAUCGGGGAAUGCAAAGGAUUCUUCCCUCGUGAAGUGGAACAAGAGGAUUGCCGCUGCGAGAGCUCGCGCAACCGCUGAAUCUGACAGAGUGGCCAAAGAGAAAGCCGAUAUUGAAGCCGAUGAGGACGCUGCCGAGACAGCCGAAGUCGAGCUCGGCUUGAUGGUGGCUCCGGUCAAUGCCCAAUAAGGCCCACUUUAGUUUUCCCUCGUUCUCUUUUUUAUGUCGCUUG
RNAcentral lists this small RNA (1454 nucleotides) under Arabidopsis thaliana (thale cress). RNAcentral's name for it is "unknown gene (AT1G52615)". The record is from RNAcentral. Lineage: Eukaryota; Viridiplantae; Streptophyta; Magnoliopsida; Brassicales; Brassicaceae.